GAGUUUGAUCGUGGCUCAGGACGAACGCUGGCGGCGUGCUUAACACAUGCAAGUCGAGCGGAAAGGCCACUUCGGUGGUACUCGAGCGGCGAACGGGUGAGUAACACGUGAGUAAUCUGCCCCUCACUCUGGGAUAACUGCCUGAAAGGGUGGCUAAUACUGGAUGCGACCAACUGCUGCAUGGUGUGUUGGUGGAAAGAUUUUUUGGUGGGGGAUGUGCUCGCGGCCUAUCAGCUUGUUGGUGGGGUAAUGGCCUACCAAGGCUUCGACGGGUAGCCGGCCUGAGAGGGUGACCGGCCACACUGGGACUGAGACACGGCCCAGACUCCUACGGGAGGCAGCAGUGGGGAAUAUUGGACAAUGGGCGGAAGCCUGAUCCAGCAACGCCGCGUGAGGGAUGACGGCCU
RNAcentral lists this ribosomal RNA (407 nucleotides) under uncultured bacterium. RNAcentral describes it as "bacterial SSU rRNA". It matches the Rfam family "Bacterial small subunit ribosomal RNA", at positions 9 to 417 of the family's 1533-position model. The record is from RNAcentral.